UUCAUACAACGAACGGUUGUGAUGAGUUUAACCAACGUCGAUGUGCGUUCUUCAACUCUUCCCCCGCUGGCCGGAGAACGCCCACCGGCCUAAGUUGCUUCCCUUUUGUCCUCCGAUUCGAUCGAUCGAUCGAUCGAAGACUUGAUAACUGUGAGCUUCAAGAACCCUAGAUCGACUCGUCGCCUCCGCGGUCGGCAGAGGAAAUGAGUUCGUGAUCCCUUGGGGCGGAGAAAGCUGCUUCCCUUUUGUCCUCCGAUUCGAUGGAUCGAUCGAAGACUUGAUAACUCUGAGCUUCAAGAACCCUAGAUCGACUCGUCUCCUCCGAGGUCGGCAGACGGAAUGAAUUCGUGAUCCCUCGGAGCGGCGAAAGUUGCUUCUCUUUUGUCCUCCGAUUCGAUGGAUCGAUCGAAGACUUGAUAACUCUGAGCUUCAAGAACCCUAGAUCGACUCGUCGCCUUCGAGGUCGGCAGAGGAAAUGAGUUCGUGAUCCCUCGGGGCGGCGAUGAAACCGAGAACCGCGAACUCACGCCACGCAAUCGAUUCGUGCACGCUGCUGCUCCACGCGUGGAAGCCCUUCCAAUUGCAAACGCUCGUUGCUGCGGAUCCACCCAGGUCGUAUCCCUUCCGCGCCAAGAAGCCCUGCCUCGCCGAUCGGUCCACCGCCCCCUCCCCCGCCAACGCAGUUGGCCUCGACAUAUCGCGGCUCAGCCUGAAAGACGACCCCCCGCCGCCUCGGCCUCCAAGACGGGAGGAGGGGCUGCGGUGGUUCGCGGGGAAGCGGCGGCGGCGGCAUGGAUCGCGGUCGAUCUCCGGUCGCAGCUCCGAUCGCAGCGGGACCCGACCCUGGGGCGGCGUCUCGGCGACGUACGCUACCUGCUCUGACUUCCCGCUGGCUGCUGGUGGAACGGAUUCGAGCGGGGAGUUUUUCGUGAUCGGGGACUGGAGCUGGGGAUCGGAUGCCAGCGAGGCAGCCCGGGUGACGAGGAGAGAGGGGAGGGAGGUCGCAGUAGGAGUGAGGUUGGAAAGGGAAACCUCCGGGUUUGGGGGAAUUCCAGGCGUUGGAGGUGCAGGGAUGCUGGAAUCCCAGGGGAACGAAUCCGGCUAUGGAAGCGAGGCUGGAUACAGGGGUGAUGGGGAGCUCGGCUACGACGACGAAAUUGAGGAUGAGGAUGAAGAUGAUGAUGGGAAACAGUUGUUCUGGGGUGAAGAACUCGGAGGUAGACAUCAUUCCUUUAUUGGUAAAAGAAACUGAUAAAUCCAAACCAAAAUUGUACUGAGCACGCAUAGGUUACCCGAGAGAUGCUGAUCAGAUGGAAAUUGUCAGCGAGAACAAGUUUGCAGAGCAGAAGGCCCACCACCGAGGCAGGCACAGGAAGCAUGACUGGAGAAUAAUGGCCUCCUUGAGCAAGCCAUGUUAAAGCCAGAGCUUCUGCUGCCAUCAUAUCCAUCUCAAGCCUUCUGCGUGACCAACCAACCAAUCUGCACAACUGCUACACUACUUGCAAUCAUAAUUUUUGGACUGAGAUGAUAUCAUCAGAUACUAUUGCCGUCUGAGAUGACCACAUAAUCCACUAUCGAAAAGUAAGAGCGUUUGGACUGUUGGCAAUUUUAUGUGAACGAAAAAUUCAAUUUUGAAUAGCAUUAUUGAGAAUAACAUAUGCAUGUUUCCGAGCAAAGACAUUAUUGGUGUUAGUUGCACCAAUACUGCAGGUGAUGGUUAUUUUUGAUUUUUAGUGCUACAUACUGAUGAAAAAGAUUGGCAUUCAGCAAAUACAAUCAACACUUGUCGUC
Molecule: RNA transcript, 1791 nt
Organism: Musa acuminata AAA Group (dessert banana)
Lineage: Eukaryota; Viridiplantae; Streptophyta; Magnoliopsida; Zingiberales; Musaceae
Exons: 4
Source: RefSeq, a predicted model, not a curated record